This 615-nucleotide ribosomal RNA is filed under the name Bremia taraxaci. RNAcentral's name for it is "LSU rRNA". It matches the Rfam family "Eukaryotic large subunit ribosomal RNA", at positions 512 to 1096 of the family's 3401-position model. The record is from RNAcentral. Lineage: Eukaryota; Oomycota; Peronosporomycetes; Peronosporales; Peronosporaceae.
GCUCAUGAGUGGAAUUGAUUCUCCGUGUGCGCCGUGUGCGGAUAGCUUGCUAUGCGUGUGUGGCUGCGUGUGGAUUGAGUCGAUACUUAUCUUAUUGCCGUUCGGGACGUUGACGAAAUGGAGCGAUUUGACCCGUCUUGAAACACGGACCAAGGAGUCUAACAUGUGUGCAAGUGUUAGGGUGUGGAAACCCCAGCGCGUAAUGAAAGUAAAGGAUAGCGUAAGUUAUCUGAGGUAGGAAAUGCUGCGGGUUCGUCCUGCGGCGUGGCACUAUCGACCGAUCAUGAACCCUUGUGGUGAAAGAUUUGAGUUUGAGCACAUAUGUUGGUACCCGAAAGAUGGUGAACUAUGCCUGAGUAGGGUGAAGCCAGGGGAAACUCUGGUGGAAGCUCGUAGCGAUUCUGACGUGCAAAUCGAUCGUCAAACUUGGGUAUAGGGGCGAAAGACUAAUCGAACCAUCUAGUAGCUGGUUCCCUCCGAAAUUUCCCUCAGGAUAGCAGCAACUUAUUUACGAUAGUUUUAUGAGGUAAAGCGAAUGAUUAGAGGAUUCGGGGAAGAAACUUUCUCGACCUAUUCUCAAACUUUAAAUCUGUAAGACCUGCAGGUUUCUUAAUU